Molecule: transfer RNA, 70 nt
Filed under: Rattus norvegicus (Norway rat)
Lineage: Eukaryota; Metazoa; Chordata; Mammalia; Rodentia; Muridae
Rfam family: tRNA
About the family: Transfer RNA (tRNA) molecules are approximately 80 nucleotides in length. Their secondary structure includes four short double-helical elements and three loops (D, anti-codon, and T loops).
Source: Rfam by way of RNAcentral
GGGGAUUUAGCUCAGUGGUAGAGCACUUGCCUAGCAAGCACAAGGCCCUGGGUUUGGUUCCCCAGCUCCG